AGCGAACGCUGGCGGCAGGCCUAACACAUGCAAGUCGAACGCACCUUCGGGUGAGUGGCGGACGGGUGAGUAACACGUGGGAACGUACCUUUUGGUUCGGAAUAACGCAGGGAAACUUGUGCUAAUACCGAAUGUGCCCUUCGGGGGAAAGAUUUAUCGCCAUUAGCGCGGCCCGCGUUAGAUUAGCUAGUUGGUGAGGU
This 200-nucleotide ribosomal RNA is filed under the name uncultured bacterium. Its description in RNAcentral is "partial 16S ribosomal RNA". It matches the Rfam family "Bacterial small subunit ribosomal RNA", at positions 29 to 258 of the family's 1533-position model. The record is from RNAcentral.